ACUUUCACAUGUGAGGACAUGGUGAGAAGACAGCAAUCUGUGAACCAGACAGCAGGCCCUCACCAGGCACCAAAUCAACUGAUGCCUUGACCUUGGACUUCUCAGCCUCCAGAACUGCUAAGGAAGGCCUUGUACUGGUUUUAGAGCCCUGGACGGAGCUCCAGGUGACAUGGGCCUUCCUGGUUCUACCACCGACCUGCUGGGGGUUUCAGCAAGCCUUCACCUUCCACGUUGGCGUUCUCAGCUCUAAGAAAAGGAAGUUGAUUUCCAUGAGAGGUGAUCAAACUGUGCUGUAGAAACCUCAGCGAUUCCACAGAACAUUAGAGUACCUCUGCCAAGCAGAAUUCUCCACAUGGAGAAACCUCCCCUCUUACUGAUUUUAUAUGCCAUGCAUGUCAACGCUCUGGGGAAGAUUUUUUGCUUGAGAAAAAAAAAAAAUUCUUGCUGAUUAAAGAAAAACAACCCUGGAAAGUGCUGAAUAUGGUAUCUAUGCAUUUAUUAUGGAAAUCUAGAUAGUUUGCACUGAGAUCAUAGAUGGUUCUCAUAGAAUGGGACUAGGAGGAUUCAAGGAAAGAAGACCUGCUUCCUGUUUCCCAGCCCGUAAACCCUUGCUGUUGUUUUCAAGAUUUUUAUGAUCCUUUCUGGGCUGUGAUGAGAGGGCCUGGCAGGGGAGCCGGCUGCCUCCUUAUCGAAGACUCCCUGCCUCAGUGCCUAGAGCCAGGCUCAGCCCUGGUGAGGAGGGACAAUCCUGGCUGGGUAGGUCAGGCAGCUAAAAGUUGGGGGUCAGGUCCCCUACUUCAGCGGUCCCUAACCUUUUUGGCAUCAGGGAAGACAAAAAUCGGAAGACAAUUUUUCCACAAACUGGAGAUGGAGGGAUGGUUUCGGGAUGACUCAAGCACAUUACAUUUUUGGUGCACUUUAUUUCUAUUAUUAUUACGUUGUAAUAUAUAAUGAAAUAAUGAUCUAACUCACCAUAAUGUAGAAUCAGUGGGAGCCCUGAGCUUGUUUGCCUGCAACUAGAUGGUCCCACCUUCAGGGGAUGAGAGACAGUGAUAGAUCGUCAGGCAUUAGAUUCUCAUAAGGAGCACACAACCAAGAUCUCUUGAAUGAGCAAGGGCUCGCAUGCACAAUGGGGCUCGCACUCCUGUGAGAAUCUAAUGCUGCCGCUGAUCUGACAGGAGGUGAAGCUCAGGCAGUAGUGCCAGCAAUGGGGAGUGGCUGUAAAUACAGAUGAAGCUUUACUGGCCUGCUGCUCACCUUCUGCUGUGCAGCCCGGUUCCUAACAGGCCAGGGACCGGUACUUCUUUUUUUUUUUUUUUUUUUUUUUUUUUUUUUUUUUUUGAGACGGAGUCUCGCUCUGUCGCCCAGGCUGGAGUGCAGUGGCGGGAUCUCGGCUCACUGCAAGCUCCGCCUCCCGGGUUCACGCCAUUCUCCUGCCUCAGCCUCCCGAG
Molecule: long non-coding RNA, 1451 nt
Filed under: Homo sapiens (human)
Lineage: Eukaryota; Metazoa; Chordata; Mammalia; Primates; Hominidae
Description: HSALNT0300979
Source: RNAcentral